This 497-nucleotide ribosomal RNA is filed under the name uncultured bacterium. Its description in RNAcentral is "partial 16S ribosomal RNA". It matches the Rfam family "Bacterial small subunit ribosomal RNA", at positions 28 to 507 of the family's 1533-position model. The record is from RNAcentral.
GAUGAACGCUGGCGGCGUGCCUAAUACAUGCAAGUCGAGCGAACGGACGAGAAGCUUGCUUCUCUGAUGUUAGCGGCGGACGGGUGAGUAACACGUGGAUAACCUACCUAUAAGACUGGGAUAACUUCGGGAAACCGGAGCUAAUACCGGAUAAUAUUUUGAACCGCAUGGUUCAAAAGUGAAAGACGGUCUUGCUGUCACUUAUAGAUGGAUCCGCGCUGCAUUAGCUAGUUGGUAAGGUAACGGCUUACCAAGGCAACGAUGCAUAGCCGACCUGAGAGAGUGAUCGGCCACACUGGAACUGAGACACGGUCCAGACUCCUACGGGAGGCAGCAGUAGGGAAUCUUCCGCAAAGGGCGAAAGCCUGACGGAGCAACGCCGCGUGAGUGAUGAAGGUCUUCGGAUCGUAAAACUCUGUUAUUAGGGAAGAACAUAUGUGUAAGUAACUGUGCACAUCUUGACGGUACCUAAUCAGAAAGCCACGGCUAACUACGUG